This 330-nucleotide unclassified non-coding RNA is filed under the name soil metagenome. RNAcentral's name for it is "partial contains 5.8S ribosomal RNA, internal transcribed spacer 2, and large subunit ribosomal RNA". The stretch from base 1 to 120 matches the Rfam family "5.8S ribosomal RNA", at positions 35 to 154 of the family's 154-position model. The record is from RNAcentral.
GAUGAAGAACGUAGCGAAAUGCGAUAAGUAAUGUGAAUUGCAGAAUUCAGUGAAUCAUCGAAUCUUUGAACGCACAUUGCGCCCUCUGGUAUUCCGGGGGGCAUGCCUGUUCGAGCGUCAUUACAACCCUCAAGCUUUGCUUGGUAUUGGACAUUGCCAGUUUCUGGCAGGUCUUAAAAUCAGUGGCGGUGCCAUUUGGCUUCAAGCGUAGUAAUUCUUCUCGCUUUGGAGAUCCAAGUGGUUACUUGCCAAUAACCCCCAAUUUUUUCAGGUUGACCUCGCAUCAGGUAGGGAUACCCGCUGAACUUAAGCAUAUCAAUAAGCGGAGGA